UACGUAGGUGGCGAGCGUUGUCCGGAAUUACUGGGUGUAAAGGGAGCGUAGGCGGGAGUGCAAGUUGAAUGUUAAAUCUAUCGGCUCAACCGAUAGCCGCGUUCAAAACUGCAUUUCUUGAGUGAAGUAGAGGUUGGCGGAAUUCCUAGUGUAGCGGUGAAAUGCGUAGAUAUUAGGAGGAACACCAGUGGCGAAGGCGGCCAACUGGGCUUUACUGACGCUGAGGCUCGAAAGCGUGGGGAGCAAACAGGAUUAGAUACCCGGGUAGGUCCCUGA
This 276-nucleotide ribosomal RNA is filed under the name uncultured prokaryote. Its description in RNAcentral is "partial 16S ribosomal RNA". It matches the Rfam family "Bacterial small subunit ribosomal RNA", at positions 524 to 800 of the family's 1533-position model. The record is from RNAcentral.